Molecule: ribosomal RNA, 485 nt
Filed under: uncultured bacterium
Lineage: Bacteria
Description: partial 16S ribosomal RNA
Rfam family: Bacterial small subunit ribosomal RNA
Source: RNAcentral
AUUGAACGCUGGCGGCAUGCCUUACACAUGCAAGUCGAACGGCAGCACGGGUGCUUGCACCUUGGGGCGAGUGGCGAACGGGUGAGUAAUACAUCGGAACAUGUCCUGUAGUGGGGGAUAGCCCGGCGAAAGCCGGAUUAAUACCGCAUACGAUCUACGGAUGAAAGCGGGGGACCUUCGGGCCUCGCGCUAUAGGGUUGGCCGAUGGCUGAUUAGCUAGUUGGUGGGGUAAAGGCCUACCAAGGCGACGAUCAGUAGCUGGUCUGAGAGGACGACCAGCCACACUGGGACUGAGACACGGCCCAGACUCCUACGGGAGGCAGCAGUGGGGAAUUUUGGACAAUGGGCGAAAGCCUGAUCCAGCAAUGCCGCGUGUGUGAAGAAGGCCUUCGGGUGGUAAAGCACUUUUGUCCGGAAAGAAAUCCUUGGCCCUAAGACGGUCGGGGGAUGACGGUACCGGAAGAAUAAGCACCGGCUAACUACGU